Molecule: long non-coding RNA, 331 nt
Filed under: Triticum aestivum (bread wheat)
Lineage: Eukaryota; Viridiplantae; Streptophyta; Magnoliopsida; Poales; Poaceae
Description: long non-coding RNA (TAES_LNC006831)
Source: RNAcentral
CUUUGCAUUGAAAUGUUUGUCUCCAUCCUGUAGGGUUCACUUGUGUAAAAUAUGUGACAUGUCCUUUUAUUAUCUGCAGAAUAAAUUAUCUGAGAGUAUUAUGCAAGGUCACUAGAACAUGGCCUCAUAUAUACUAUAUUGAACAUACAGGUUAGGCAACGAUGAACAUGUAAAUAAAAUAAAAUUCCUGACCUGCAGUUUGCUUUUAUCGGCCUUCCGGAUGUAAAAUAUCUGAAAAUGUCUCCCUGUGCAGCGAUGUCAGUUAUUGAGUGGGUUGAUGAUUUGUAUGAGUUCACUAGACUGAUGAUCUGAAGAGACGAUGGCCCCCUGG